RNAcentral lists this transfer RNA (79 nucleotides) under Novosphingobium sp. MBES04. Its description in RNAcentral is "tRNA-Met". It matches the Rfam family "tRNA". Rfam says of the family: Transfer RNA (tRNA) molecules are approximately 80 nucleotides in length. Their secondary structure includes four short double-helical elements and three loops (D, anti-codon, and T loops). Further hydrogen bonds mediate the characteristic L-shaped molecular structure. tRNAs have two regions of fundamental functional importance: the anti-codon, which is responsible for specific mRNA codon recognition, and the 3' end, to which the tRNAs corresponding amino acid is attached (by aminoacyl-tRNA synthetases). tRNAs cope with the degeneracy of the genetic code in two manners: having more than one tRNA (with a specific anti-codon) for a particular amino acid; and 'wobble' base-pairing, i.e. permitting non-standard base-pairing at the 3rd anti-codon position. Lineage: Bacteria; Pseudomonadati; Pseudomonadota; Alphaproteobacteria; Sphingomonadales; Sphingomonadaceae. The record is from RNAcentral.
GGCCUGUAGCUCAGCGGUUAGAGCUGGCCGCUCAUAACGGCUAGGUCGCGGGUUCGAAUCCUGCCGGGCCCACCACCCU